GAUCCUGGCUCAGGAUGAACGCUGGCGGCGUGCCUAACACAUGCAAGUCGAACGAAGCACUGAGACUUCGGUUUUUGUGCUUAGUGGCGGACGGGUGAGUAACGCGUGAGCAAUCUGCCUUUCAGAGGGGGAUAACGAUUGGAAACGAUCGCUAAUACCGCAUAACGUAUUCGGAUGGCAUCAUCUGAAUACCAAAGGAGCAAUCCGCUGAAAGAUGAG
This 219-nucleotide ribosomal RNA is filed under the name uncultured bacterium. RNAcentral's name for it is "partial 16S ribosomal RNA". It matches the Rfam family "Bacterial small subunit ribosomal RNA", at positions 15 to 229 of the family's 1533-position model. The record is from RNAcentral.